GCCAAACCACGGACACACAGUCCCUCACCAUCUACCAACGCCACAGCAUCCAUCCAUCCAUCCAUCCAUCCAUCCAUCCAUCCAUCAGUGCAUGCAUUGGCACUUGCCAAAUCCUCAAAACCUCAUUCGCAGGGUUAGACAUGUUAAAGUGUUGACCUCCUACGCAGCUGUGAAUAGCAGUGGAAUCCCUUUCCAAGGAUUGUUGAGAGUCUGCUCAGAGAGUGAAGAGUCCGCCGCUUCUCCAGCUGUCCCUUGUCAUCCUCCAGCGUCCUUGACUCUCCACUUCAGGCAGCUCUCGGCCCCACGGGAGCCCUGGGCACUGCCAGCUGAGCCACCUUUGUUGACAGCUCUUUCCCAAGGCCGGCCGUCGACGCUUCGCUUUGUACCCUGGAACAGACAGGCAGAACACAUCACCCCUGAAGAUAAGCAUGGGAACAUUUCAUCAUAGGGAGCACAGGUGACAACGGCGGUCGAAGACAGGUAGAUAUAUUCUAUUAUUCACAGCCCAGCAAGGGCGUCAGAUCUCCCUGGCGAUCGCUACAGAGGCUGGUGUCAGAGGUGACAUCAAAAAGACAAGGGCUUGGUGACAGCCACCGACUACACCACUGUUGAGAUGCAGACUAGCGAAGGCACAGACCCCCCCCCCCCCAUGAUCAAAUGCAGCAAUACUGACAACCAAACGUCCCCUCAGCCAACACACAACAUCCCCAAAGACACAGGAAGGGGAAAAGCAGCUUCAAACUGAUGCACAGAUAGCACAGACAUUUCCACAAAGAAAGGAUCCAAAAACAGAUACCUGGCAGGACAGAGCAGCCAAGGACACGCGGUGAAAAGCUGCAGAGUUAGAGAGGAGUGACACAAACCUGUUGAGCGACUCUUCCUCCCUCCUGCUCGGCUGCUGGGAGGAGGACACUUGUGUCUCGCACAGAGUGGGUUUUGAUCUUUUUGCAUCGGCAUCCGCUUCCUCCAUCUACAAAGGCCAUGAAAGAGAAUGAGUAAUUCAUCUCUCUGUGUGCAUGUGAGCGUGUGUUAGGCUUGACCUAUUUCUGCUGCAAUGACAUGAGGUUGGCAUUUCAGCCUCACAAGUAUGACUGCAGAGACAGGUGUACCGUUGCAUGAGGCGCUUGUUUUCCCCAUGUUGAAAAAGCUCAUGUGCAUUUGAAAAGGCUACAUAUGCGCUUUAAAAAAUUUAAAAUUGUAAAAAUUUUAAUAUGAAUAUUUAUUAAUUAAAGCUCCUGUGAUUACGCAUGCUUCUCCAUCACAAGUC
Molecule: long non-coding RNA, 1267 nt
Organism: Micropterus dolomieu (smallmouth bass)
Lineage: Eukaryota; Metazoa; Chordata; Actinopteri; Centrarchiformes; Centrarchidae
Exons: 4
Source: RefSeq, a predicted model, not a curated record